This 253-nucleotide ribosomal RNA is filed under the name uncultured bacterium. RNAcentral describes it as "partial 16S ribosomal RNA". It matches the Rfam family "Bacterial small subunit ribosomal RNA", at positions 524 to 776 of the family's 1533-position model. The record is from RNAcentral.
GACAGAGGUGCCGAGCGUUAGGCGGAAUCACUGGGCUUAAAGCGUGUGUAGGCGGGCGGGCAAGUACCUUGUGAAAUCCCACGGCUCAACCGUGGAACGGCUGGGUAUACUGCCUGUCUUGAGCCAACUAGGGGCGAGCGGAACAGACGGUGGAGCGGUGAAAUGCGUAGAUAUCAGGAGGAACACCGGUGGCGAAGGCGGGUCUCUGGGCCGAUACUGACGCUGAGGAGCGAAAGCGUGGGGAGCGAACAGG